UACGUAGGGUGCGAGCGUUAAUCGGAAUUACUGGGCGUAAAGCGUGCGCAGGCGGUUUUGUAAGCCAGAUGUGAAAUCCCCGGGCUUAACCUGGGAAUGGCAUUUGGGACUGCAAGGCUGGAGUGUGGCAGAGGAGACUGGAAUUCCCGGUGUAGCAGUGAAAUGCGUAGAUAUCAGGAGGAACACCGGUGGCGAAGGCGGGUCUCUGGGCAGUAACUGACGCUGAGGAGCGAAAGCGUGGGGAGCGAACAGG
This 253-nucleotide ribosomal RNA is filed under the name uncultured bacterium. RNAcentral describes it as "partial 16S ribosomal RNA". It matches the Rfam family "Bacterial small subunit ribosomal RNA", at positions 524 to 776 of the family's 1533-position model. The record is from RNAcentral.